This 693-nucleotide ribosomal RNA is filed under the name Mucor hiemalis. RNAcentral describes it as "partial large subunit ribosomal RNA". It matches the Rfam family "Eukaryotic large subunit ribosomal RNA", at positions 50 to 648 of the family's 3401-position model. The record is from RNAcentral. Lineage: Eukaryota; Fungi; Mucoromycota; Mucoromycetes; Mucorales; Mucoraceae. RNAcentral also lists the same sequence under 1 other name.
GCGGAGGAAAAGAAAAUAACAAUGAUUUCCCUAGUAACGGCGAGUGAAGAGGAAAGAGCUCAAAGUUGGAACCUGUUUGGCUUAGCUAAACCGGAUUGUAAACUGUAGAAGUGUUUUCCAGACACGCCUGGUAAAAAAGUCCUUUGGAACAGGGCAUCAUAGAGGGUGAGAAUCCCGUCAUUGGCCAGAGCUGUUGUCUUUUGUGAUACAUUUUCAAAGAGUCAGGUUGUUUGGGAAUGCAGCCUAAAUUGGGUGGUAAAUCUCACCUAAAGCUAAAUAUUUGCGAGAGACCGAUAGCGAACAAGUACCGUGAGGGAAAGAUGAAAAGAACUUUGAAAAGAGAGUUAAACAGUAUGUGAAAUUGUUAAAAGGGAACCGUUUGGAGCCAGACUGGCUUAACUGUAAUCAAUCUAGGCUUUGGCCUGGAUGCACUUGCGGUUUAUGCCGGCCAACGACAGUUUUGUUUGAGGGAAAAAAUUACAUUGAAUGUGGCCCUUCGGGGUGUUAUAGCUUUGUAAAAAAUACCUUGGACUGGACUGAGGAACGCAGUGAAUGCCUUUAGGCAAGAUUGCUGGGUGCUUUCGCUAAUAAAUGCUAGAAUUUCUGCUUCGGGUGGUGCUAGUGUUUAAAGGAGGAACUCGCUUAGUAUAUUUUUUAUUCGCUUAGGUUGUUGGCUUAAUGACUCUAAAUGAC